CCUACGGGAGGCAGCAGUGAGGAAUAUUGGUCAAUGGGCGCUAGCCUGAACCAGCCAAGUAGCGUGAAGGAUGACUGCCCUACGGGUUGUAAACUUCUUUUAUAAGGGAAUAAAGUGCAGCACGUGUACCGCUUUGUAUGUACUUUAUGAAUAAGGAUCGGCUAACUCCGUGCCAGCAGCCGCGGUAAUACGGAGGAUCCGAGCGUUAUCCGGAUUUAUUGGGUUUAAAGGGAGCGUAGAUGGGUUGUUAAGUCAGUUGUGAAAGUUUGCGGCUCAACCGUAAAAUUGCAGUUGAUACUGGCAUCCUUGAGUACAGUUGAGGUAGGCGGAAUUCGUGGUGUAGCGGUGAAAUGCUUAGAUAUCACGAAGAACUCCGAUUGCGAAGGCAGCAUACUGGAGUCUGACUGACGCUGAUGCUCGAAAGUGUGGGGAUCGAACAGGAUUAGAUACCCCGGUAGUC
This 460-nucleotide ribosomal RNA is filed under the name uncultured bacterium. Its description in RNAcentral is "partial 16S ribosomal RNA". It matches the Rfam family "Bacterial small subunit ribosomal RNA", at positions 338 to 795 of the family's 1533-position model. The record is from RNAcentral.